Molecule: ribosomal RNA, 836 nt
Filed under: uncultured Chloroflexota bacterium
Lineage: Bacteria; Bacillati; Chloroflexota
Description: bacterial SSU rRNA
Rfam family: Bacterial small subunit ribosomal RNA
Source: RNAcentral
AUCCCUUAGAUUCGUCUUAGGGUGAGAGUGGCGGACGGGUGAGUAUCGCGUAGAUGACCUGCCCCAGAGAGGGGGACAACCAUUGGAAACGAUGGCUAAUACCCCAGAUGUUAUCGUGUUUAGAAAACGAUGACUAAAGCUCCGGCGCUCUGGGAGGGGUCUGCGUCCCAUCAGCUAGUUGGUAAGGUAAUGGCUUACCAAGGCGAAGACGGGUAGGGGGCGUGAGAGCGUGACCCCCCACACUGGUACUGAAACACGGACCAGAUACCUACGGGUAGCAGCAGCAAGGAAUAUUGCGCAAUGGGCGAAAGCCUGACGCAGCAACGCCGCGUGGAGGAUGAAUGCCUUCGGGUUGUAAACUCCUUUUCUGAGGGAAGAGAAAGGACGGUACCUCAGGAAUAAGGCCCGGCUAACUACGUGCCAGCAGCCGCGGUAAAACGUAGGGGUCAAGCGUUAUCCGGAUUUACUGGGCGUAAAGAGCAUGUAGGCGGUUACUCAAGUCGGACAUGAAAGCUCCUGGCUCAACUGGGAGAGGUUGUUCGAAACUAGGUAACUUGAGGAUGGUAGAGGAGAGUGGAAUUCCCGGUGUAGUGGUGAAAUGCGUAGAUAUCGGGAGGAACACCAGUGGCGAAGGCGGCUCUCUGGGCCAUUCCUGACGCUGAGAUGCGAAAGCUAGGGGAGAGAACGGGAUUAGAAACCCCGGUAUUCCUAGCCGUAAACGAUGUCAACUAGGUGUAGGAGGUAUUAACCCCCUUCUGUGCUGUAGCUAACGCAUUAAGUUGACCGCCUGGGGGACUACGGCCGCAAGGCUAAAACUCAAAGGAAUUGACGGGGAC